GGAGAGGAGAGGCACACACCUGGCUGGAGAAUGUUGAUCAAAUAGGCUUGAUUUGGUGUAGAGGGCACGACAGGGGACCCCAGAGGAAGCAAGAGCAAGAACAGAGGAUGAGCUCAAACAGCACCUGAGAGAGAGGCCAGGACUCCGAGAGAGCAACAGAGUCAACGGAGCAUCUGCCCGUGCGGGCCAACAGCUCUAAUUGCAACAUGAAGAAAGGCUCUGGCUUUUGAGGAGGGCCCACCCUAUCCCCAGGCGUUUCUCUCACUCAGAGUUGACACGGCCCCUGGGGAGGCACUGGCAUUUGGAGCAGGGAGUGAGAUCAUCUACCCUGGGCUUUAAGCACUGAGAAAGAAAAAAAGUCAGGAAGAAAGGCAAUACUGCAGAAAAUUCAUGAAAAAUAGCCAGCCAGUUUUUUUUUUUUUUUUUUUUAAUGUGGAGAACAAAAAUGAGAGAGGAGGCCUGAGGAACUGGCAUGAGGAGAAAGGAGCAUUUGCUGUUAUAUACGGCAGAAGCCACUGUCCUACCCGAAGUGAUGAAUUCCCCAAGGCCGGAGCUUCAGGAGACAUACGUGCAGGGCUCUCUGGGAGUAGCCCGCCAGGAUGCAAGCUGACUGCCAGGGUGUGCAGGAACAAGCACAGAGCAUGAUGGAAGCCCCAAAGAGG
RNAcentral lists this long non-coding RNA (662 nucleotides) under Equus caballus (horse). RNAcentral's name for it is "lncRNA (ENSECAG00000045155.1)". Lineage: Eukaryota; Metazoa; Chordata; Mammalia; Perissodactyla; Equidae. The record is from RNAcentral.